CAUGUCUUUUUGAUGAUAAUUUAAAGUCUGACCUGCUCAAUGAAUUUUUAAAUUGCCGCAGUAUUUUGACUGUGCAAAGGUAGCAUAAUAAUUAGUUUUUUUAUUGAAAGCUGGAAUGAAUGGUUGGACAAGAAAAUCUCUGUCUCUUUGUAAUUUUUUUUUGAAAUUAAUUUUUAAGUUCAAAAGCUUAAAUUUUUUUAAAAGACGAGAAGACCCUAUAGAGUUUUAUUUUUCUUUAAUUUUUUAUUUUUAGGAAUUUAAUUUUUUAAUUUUUUGAAAAAUUUGGUUGGGGUGACUUGAAGAUUUAAUUAACUCUUUAAAUUGAUAUCAUUGAUUUGUGAAUUUUGAAUCUAUAUUUUUAAUUAUAAAAUAAAUUACCUUAGGGAUAACAGCGUUAUUUUUCUUUAGAGUUCUUAUUGAAAGAAAAGUUUGCGACCUCGAUGUUGGAUUAAAAUUUGCUUUUGGUGUAGCAGCUAUUUAGCUAAGUCUGUUCGACUUUUAAAAUUUUACAUGAUCUGAGU
This 521-nucleotide ribosomal RNA is filed under the name Lampyridae sp. UPOL RK0106. RNAcentral describes it as "partial 16S ribosomal RNA". The stretch from base 385 to 521 matches the Rfam family "Bacterial large subunit ribosomal RNA", at positions 2473 to 2610 of the family's 2925-position model. The record is from RNAcentral. Lineage: Eukaryota; Metazoa; Arthropoda; Insecta; Coleoptera; Lampyridae.